Molecule: transfer RNA, 74 nt
Filed under: Verrucomicrobiota bacterium
Lineage: Bacteria; Pseudomonadati; Verrucomicrobiota
Also listed under: 1 other name
Description: Verrucomicrobia bacterium tRNA-Asn
Rfam family: tRNA
About the family: Transfer RNA (tRNA) molecules are approximately 80 nucleotides in length. Their secondary structure includes four short double-helical elements and three loops (D, anti-codon, and T loops).
Source: RNAcentral
GGGGCGGUAGCUCAAAUGGUAGAGCAGCGUGCUGUUUCAGCGCGACGAUGGAUGUUCGACUCAUCCCCGCUCCA